Molecule: long non-coding RNA, 1544 nt
Organism: Betta splendens (Siamese fighting fish)
Lineage: Eukaryota; Metazoa; Chordata; Actinopteri; Anabantiformes; Osphronemidae
Exons: 7
Source: RefSeq, a predicted model, not a curated record
AUGUUUCCACAGCGAGUCACUGAUCAGCGCGCUGCUGUUGGCAGGUUUAGUUGAGGUUAGGGUGGUCUGUCGAGGAGCUCCCGCCCCCUGCGACUUGUCCACCGGUCUGCGGGGGAGUUGAGCCUGGUUGUAAACCUCCACACGGUGCGGUUCUCAGAGUAAUGGCUGUCUACAAGAAGACGGUAAGAAAAGCGUUUCAGUGAAAUAAUACCUUCUGUUUUAAAAUGUUUGUUAAAAGAAAACGAGAGAGAGAGAGAGAGAGAGAGAGAGAUGCUUUGGCUUUUUGGUUUUUCCUUUUCAGCUGCAGACCAUCGCAGUCAUUUGAUCAGAGCGGAGGGCAGCCAAAGGCCUCAGUAUCUUGAGGAUUACAACACAAAAAGGCACAGUGUGACUGUUCCCUAUGAGCCGCCCCAGCCGGGCUCAGAGAUCACCACAAUCCUGUUCAACUUCAUGUGCAACAGCUCCUGCAUGGGAGGCAUGAACCGCAGGACCCAUCCUCACCAUCCUGACCCUUGAGACUUCAGACGGACAACUUUUGGGCCGAAGAUGCUUCGAGGUGCGUGUCUGCGCGUGUCCCGGCAGGGAUCGUAAAACAGAGGAGGCAAAUAGUGCCAAACUGCAGACAGGGGCCAAACAAGUGAAGAAAAGAAAAAGUGCCCCAGCAACAGAUCCUGAUAUGUGCAAAAGGAAGUCUGGCUCAAGCACAGACGAGGAGGAAGUAUUUAUGUUGCCAGUUAAAGGCCGUGAGCGCUAUAACAUGUUAAAAAAGAUAAAUGAUGCAUUAGAACUGGCUGAAAAAGAGGCUAAAAACAAAACCAGGGCUUCUAAGGAACUGCUGCCGUCCAGUGGAAAGCGCGUCUUGCAAAAAGCAGAACGAAGCGACAGCGACUAGUUGCAAUCUGCCUUCUUUUAACCGCCAUGUACGAGUUAUGUUCAGUGUUGCUUCCUGGCCAACAUCCCUCAGCAGGAGGCUGCACGAUCAUCGAGUUCAGAUGAACUGCGCGACCCCAGCCCCCCUGUACCUCCCCGUCCCUCGUCCUGCCGGGGUCCGGCGCGACCCCAGCCCACGGAACUUCCCCGUCCCUCGUCCUGCCGGGGUCCGGCGCGACCCCUGCCCACGGAACCUCCCCGUCCCUCGUCCUGCCGGGGUCCGGCGCGACCCCAGCCCCCUGUACCUCCCCGUCCCGCAUCCUCCCGGGGUCAGGCGCUACCCCAGCCCCCUGUACCUACCCGUCAGGCGUCUUGCCGGGGUCCGGCGCGACCCCAUUUUUUUUGUUUUUUAUUUUUCCUUCUCCUUUCCUCCCCUUUACCUCCACCCGUGCCACAGGCCCACUGAUGAUGAACAUGAUGAUGAUGACGAACAUGAUGAUGAUGAUGAUGAUGAUGAUGAUGAUGAUGAUGAUUAUGCAAGCAGACAGCUGCGUGCAAGGGCUGACCAUUUUAAACGAAAAAUAAAACAGACCAAACAGGCAAAAACAUUUGAUUAAAUGCCAAAAGUUUAUUUAAUAAUAUAAAACAGUUAUGAAAUAAAGGAGUACAAGGCG